UCUGCGCAGCAAGUUAUCCUACGUUAGGGAUGGGAGUGGCGCAGGAAGCUAGGACUCCAGAAUCGGUUGCUGAAACCACAAGAAACAACGAACCCUAGAGGAUGUGGGAGAACGAGGAGCCUGGACUGGAGGGAGCCUGAGAGCGAGAGCUCAGUGAAGGCCUGAAAAAGUUGUCUGGGUGCCUUCCCGAGCCAAGGCUGUCAGUGGGCGGGGACAGAGGCGGGGCACUGUGAGAGGUCCAGGCCAGUGCUCCAGGGACUGGGAGGAGCCCAGAGCCUUAAGGGUCGCCUUCUGCAAAAAAGAAAGCAGCAAGAUGAUAGUCUCCCGUUUGGGAAUUUGUGUUUGGGAAUUUGUCCUAGGUGCAAACCAGAGCUCGACCGAUACAGCGGCGGGAGGGGGUGGGAUGGGGGGAGCUGGUCGCAACCCUUCUCCUCAUAGGAAUGCUUCACUCAGCGAAAACCACAGCCAAUCCAAAUGUGGAGUUGUGGAGCCCUGUCCCAAAUGGAUACAUCUACAAAGGACUCUCAUAGCAUCCCAGCAUUAAGUCCAAAUGAAUGGGAUCAGACCAAGAAGACAGGAAGGAACAACUGGACCUGGUGCUUUCUCUUUAUUCUGUCUUCUGUGGAUGAGAGGAAACCAUAUGGACUAGCCAGCCACAGGUCCUACCUCCACCUGUUAGGACUACAGAAUGCUUAAUCAGCGUGAACCCUGACCUUUAGUUAGCCCUACAAUACCAAGGAAGCCUCAAAGCAUCAGAGGAAAGCUAAGGACUGUCCACCAAGAUGGAGUGGCUGCUGCUCUACAGAAUUUUCAGAAGACAUAAAACACAUCACAGUGGCUCAGUGUCCUCCUCUGCAAUGCAUGCCUCACCAGACAUGGAGGAUCUCACUGGGUGUCCCAGGAUGGUCUUGAACUUGCAACCAUUUCAUCUCAGCCUCCCAAGUGCUGGGAUUGCAGCUGGAUCUUCUGAAGGAUAAGCAGCCCUGCCUUUCAAUACCCAACAGAUGUGAAGUCCCACCUCCUCCGGCUCAGAAGCAAUGGAGUCAGCUCAUAACGGACCAAAGCCUCAGAAACUGCAAGCACAAUGAAUAUUUCUACCUUUAAGCUGUGCCCUUGAGUGUUUUGUUUCAGGAAUGAAAUGCUGACUAGGAUACCAUUGUUCUGAGCUUUGUGUGGAAGCAAACCUAACUCAUUACCCUGUCCUCCUCCAACCAGUUCUGAAGCAACAGCAUUCUGACCCUCAUUUUCCUCACCUGUAAAGGAGGGUGGCUUCCUUCUCUCUCAUAGUCCCACACCAAGGGAAACCGUCUAUGACACAAGCUUGGUAUAAGCCCACUCUUCUAAAAUAUUCAGUCAGACCGGGGAAGUAGCUCCUGCAGGUUGGCUGCUUGGGAUCUCUCUUCAAGCAACAUUUGCUGCAUCUCUCGCACAUGGAUUUGCUUAUUACCUGAGUAUCCCUUCUCAAGGUUAUUGCAAAUAUGUGACAUUGCUUUGACUCAAUGUAGCAUCCCAGGGUCAAAAUUUCAAAGUAAAAUCUCUCAGUAAAUGACUUGCAGUGAUAUACACGCAAGCUAUUGUGAACAUGCUUCAGUAUCUGCUCCAAAAAAUCUGUAAAAAUCUAACAGAUGUGCACACAAAAGCACACUUGCUGGGGACUCCUGGAGAUGACGCUUGUCGUUUACCCGAGUGAUAAUACAAUGAGAUAACAGAACAAGGUCCUUCCCCAGCAAUGAAUAGAAACCCAUUUACUAAGCAUCCAGGAAAUAGGCACAAAUGAUUUUCUGUUGGAGACACGACAUUCUAGGGAUAUUCACCAAGGGUCACAACAAUAUGUAUGUCAGAAAGAUCAUGAAAAGCAGCACCUAUUGUUGAAGAAACUGCAGUGACCCACAAGCUCAUCACCAUCACAAUGGGGCAGAACCUCUUCUCUCUCCCAAACUUAGGUGAGUGGUUUCAAAAUAGAUGCUAGUGUGUGUGUGUGUGUGUGUGUGUGUGUGUGUGUGUGUGUGUAUUCAUCAUUUAUGGGUAUUUAUGCAUUAUGGGUAUCUGCAUAUUCCUGUUUGUUUAUAUAUGUUUGUGCAUUUCAAGGAUAGUUUGUGUGUAUCUGUGCUUAUCAUUCAUGAGUACAUGCAUAUAUGUUUAUGCAGAAGUGAAUGUGUGUGUGUUCCUGUGGCGUGUCUUUACAUGGUGACAGCAGGGACUUGCACAGGUCUGCAUUCCAAGCAUUGAGGAUAGCUACAAAGGUCUUAGAAGAAAACCAUAGGGGCAUGGAGUUCUGUUUUCCUCUCAGAAAAUGUCUGGAGGUGUUUCAACAGAACAUGUGGGUGUCUUGGCCAAGAGCCAGAGGCACUUAACAGUUAGAUAGCUGCAUACUUUGCAAAACUUCUGGUUAUCACACCUGUCAUUUUGACAGGUGCUGGAGUAUGCAUAGGAAUUCUGUCAGCCAGGACCUAAACUUAGGAAUAUAUUUUGAUUGUUGUUUAUUAACAAUAACCCCAACCUUCCCUCUUCUUUCUCUAAGUCUCACAGGCUACCUGAGUUAAGGGGACUGGGAUACGGAGCCCAGGAGGCUAGCCCUCAGCAUUGAAGUAUACAACUGUACGCCACAGUUGUCCUCACUUGGUUGAAAUGUGUCUUCACAUUCACAAGUCCAUUGUUCCCCAAAAUAGCUAUGGAUCCCCUACACACACACACACACACACACACACACACACACACACACACACACACACACACUUUUCUCUAACGGCUUCACCCAGUCCAUUUUCAAAGUGGAAAACAGGAAAUCCUAGCUGCAGGCCACUGGAAUUCUUCCCAGACCUCAGCAUGGAUGUAAAGCUUUUAGAAUAAUUGGAGUCAAACAUAGAAGGAACAAAAAAAAAAAGUUUGGGACAAGACUCAGGAGAAAAAAGGGGGGGGGGAUUUAGAAGUUUGUUUGCAAGGUGCAAAUGCUGAAUUUAAAACAUUCUGCUAUUGAAGUUCUAGGACCCACUGAAGAAUUCUUCCUGAAUAUGUUCUAUUUAUGUGUGGACUGUGGCAGCUUUUUCACACAAAACAAUAUAUAGGAAAGUGGAGAAAGUUCCAUAUAAACUCUCCCCAGCUGGAGACAAGAAGGAUGCUGUUAUUGUCUAGAUGGAAAAAUAAUAAGUUGAGAGUUUUAACACACACUAGGGAGAGUGCCCUUAUCUCUGAGAGGUCUGGGAUGCUAUCUAUAGACAAAACAAGCCAGUGUUUGUGUUUCAGAAAGCUUUAAAUAUAGCUAGCCCUAAUUGUUGGUCUGAGACCUUUGUUUAGAUGAAACAUUUUUAUUUAUUUGGGAUUGAGGGUUCUUUACAGAAGACAUGAAAGCAGAGAUAAUGUUAUGACUCACUGAGAAAAAUGUACUUUUCUGGUGAGUCAACAUUUUGAAAUAUAAGGGAUGUGUACGGCUGGGGGCGUUCACUCUUGUAAGAUUUCAUUCCGAGGUCCCUGUUAUCACAAUGGAUCUGACACUGUCCUUUUCAUUUCUUUGGUGUGGGACUCUCUGGGGAACAAAAUCAGGAGUUUCACACACAUUGAUGAUUCAGAAUUAAACAGCCACCACAUUUGUGUUACACUUGGAUCCCAUGUGGUCAUGUGCACUGCUGGUGUAUGAAUUUAAUCCUCGAACACUGCUGAUGUGAUCUGCAUAAAGUAUGCCUCUCUUGCUUCCUCAACACAGGCAUUUCUUUUUCCCUUCAGUACUGCACAGCCUUGGUUCCUUGAAUGAUCCUGCUCAAGGCCAGCAUUCCCAGUGAGGGUAGCAUUUCAAGUGGCUCCGGAACAAGUAUAGACUAUAGGCAUACACCCAUAAUCCCUUUAUUCCAUUCUGUGGUUUGUGAAGGUUUUGUUGAUGAAGCCAUUGAGACCCACCCCCACCCUCACCCCCAGCUUCAUGUAGUAUUUCCUGUUAUAUGUAUCUAAGCCCAGAGAUAGGCUGAAAGAGGUUGGCUUCCACCUAAUUAUGGAUGAAGUUCUUAAAACACAUACGUGCGUGUGCACACAUGUUCAAUAAAUGGCUCCAUCUACCCAUAGGGGAAUGAAGUUGGAACCAGCUUUCUAAGCCUGCAUUUAAAAAAAAUGAUUAAAAGAGAUCAAAGACCUCAAUUUAAAACCUGAAAUGCUGAAUCUGCCAAUUGAAAGCAUAAAGAAUACAUUUAAAGACGCUGGCAGAGGCACAGUGAGGCGACUCAGAGGUAAAGGUGCUUGUCACCAAGCAUGAAGACCCAUGUUUGAUCCCAGGGGCUCACGUGGUGUAAGGGGAAAAAGCCACUCCAGCAAACUGUCCUCUGGCCUCCACACUUGCAACAUGCAGUAGUGAAGCCUAAUACUGUGUAUGCUAAAUGGUGUUCAGUGGGAGAUGGGGACAACAGGACAUGUGUGACGUGAAAGCUCAAAGGAGGCUAUGGGAGCAUGAAUGAGGACUGGUGGAGGAGAAGCUGGGGAAAAAUAAUUUUAAAAAACCAAGAUUUGUUUGAAGUUGCUUAGUGAAGCCUAAUACUGUAUAUGCCAAUCUAAUUAUUUAGUGAAAAGAUACUGGUAGGUCUAGAGAGAUGGUUUCAUGUUGAAGAGACCUUACUGUUCUUGCAAAGAAUCCGAGUUCAGUUCCCAGCACCCAUGCUGGGCAACCUACAACUGCCUGUGACUCCAACUCCAGGUAAACCAAUGCCACCUUCUGGCUUCCACUGGUAUUGCACCCAUAUGCACAUGCGCAGAGACACAGGGAGGGGGGGGUGCAUGUAAAACUAGAACAAAAUAAAUCUUUCAACAAAGAUGCUGGCCUUCGGAAAUGCAAAGAUUAAAGUGCCUCUAACACAGAUCACAGAGUCACAGACCAGCAUGUAUGUGCUUUUUGUUCCGUAGACACACUGACUUACUAGCCUCCACGAGAAGCCUAAUCCAUCGUUGUAACUGAAUGCCUGAAGCACAUUAAAGUUCUAUCACUCAUCAUAGGUGGUGCGCAGACAGGCAUUGCACAUAUUUAGAAGUAUGGAGUAUUCAAUAAAAGAGAGAUAUCAAAAUAAAAGAGAGAA
This is a long non-coding RNA of Mus musculus (house mouse), 5051 nucleotides long. RefSeq annotates it as predicted gene, 40331. Lineage: Eukaryota; Metazoa; Chordata; Mammalia; Rodentia; Muridae. The transcript is spliced from 7 exons. The record is from RefSeq and is a predicted model, not a curated record.